UUGGGGGCGGGGCCUCGGGAGAGAGAGUAGCAGAGGUGGGGAGGGUCCCGGCUCCAGAACCAGCUCCUGCACCUUUCCCUGCACCCAAGCCUCACAGCUUUUAAUUGGGCCCAAGACUCUUUCCUGUCUGGAUGUCACCCUGGGCAGAACGUUGAGAAUCGAAGGUAAGGGGUGGGCAGCACUCACCUAGGGGGGUCACUGAGGACUUUGGUCAAGUCCACAGUGCCUUUUCUAGUCAUGUGUCUUCACCUGUUCUUUAUCUCAGGAUCUGAGAAGCAGGAGCAAGGAACUCAGGGAGAGAUCCAGGAAGACAUCUGACUCUGUUAAGAGACGACAGUCACAGCGACACGGGGAGCGAGGACACUUGCAGCAAAGUAAAAUGACUUCACAACUAUUGCAUCAGAGCUGCAGGUGUGAGAGAGCCUAAGCCUGUCUCAGAGUGCAGGGGACAAGAGGAAAGGAAUGGUGCCCUCACCUCCAGUAGCAUCCAUCCAGACACCAGCACUGACACUGGCCGUGCUCAGAACUGCCUCAGCCCUGAAGACACAACUGAGAAAUAGAAGGGGGCUACGCCCUAUGACAGCAGGUGCUCUCACUUUGUGGGUCCUUAUGUAACUGCACGAUGUUAAUCAGGAUCGCCCGUUCUACAUUGUGUAGCGCUGCUGCGGUGUCUCCUAGUUACUUGUUUCUUGUAAGAAUUCCGGUGACUGAGUUAGAAGCAUGCUUCCAAGCUGUGCGUGUCCUCGGCAUCCAGAAGCGGAGCCUGGAAGCUUCCGAAUUUCUCCAGAAUGCAGUCUACAUUCACCUUCGGCAAGGCCUGCAACAUGAGCAUCCCUGACUACGUGCAGUGUGCUGAGGACCACCAGACUUUCCCCGUGGUGGUCGAACACGUGGGGAUCAUCUCAGAGGAGAAUUUCUUUUGCAUCUAUAAGUGAAUCACCUUGGUGAGUCAGAUCAGUCCGUGCAGCUCCCAGUGGGCAAACUGUAUCCACUACAGUCACCACUAUGCGCCCAAGAAUGGGUGGAGCGACUUCCAGACCCACCGCAAGGUCUUGGGCCUUGUCAUCAUUACUGACUGCCUCUCGGCCAAGGCUUCGAAAAGCUCCACGUGCAGAGGAGCUGUAUGGCACCACGCUCUAUGACUCUCAGCUCUUUGACUUUCUGCUGCAUGGGGAGGUGGCCGAGCAGCCGCGCACCGAAGUGGCCUUCAAUUUACGAGGACUGCAGGGAGGUGGAGAAGAGGAUCGACGACUUCACUGAGUCACUCUUCAUCUUGCCCAAGUCCAAGUGGCUGGACGGUGCAUCCGACAAUUCUGGGGACAAGAUCCUCCUUCUCUGCAUCCCAUUUGAGAAGGAGGACAUCAUGGGACUGGACACAGAAAGCAGUACGUUUUGGUUACUGAGUCCCUCGAAUUCCCAUAUGAAUAGUAGCAGCAGCUAGUCAGUUACUGCAGAGGAGCCCGCUGGGAUUGUGAUCGAGACCACGUUGAGUAUACAGAUCGCUCUGGGGAGCACUGCCAUCCCAAGAGCGUUGUCAUGUGAUCCAGGAAUGUGCGUGGUGUGUCUGUACAGAGUUCUAUGUAUAGUUGGUUACAUUCUAUACCUGGAAAUUUCUCCAAAACUGCUUCCCACGUGCCCUCACCUCCAGUGGCAUCCAUCCAGACACCAGCACUGACACUGGCCGUGCUCAGAACUGCCUCAGCCCUGAAGACACAACUGACAAAUAGAAGGGGGCUACGCCCUAUGACAGCAGGUGCUCUCACUUUGUGGGUCCUUAUGUAACUGCACGAUGUUAAUCAGGAUCGCCCGUUCUACACUGUGUGACGCUGCUGCCGUGUCUCCUAGUUAUUUCUGAUCUGAGAAGCAGGAGCAAGGAACUCAGGGAGAGAUCCAGGAAGACAUCUGACUCUGUUAAGAGACGACAGUCACAGCGACACGGGGAGCGAGGACACUUGCAGCAAAGUAAAAUGACUUCACAACUAUUGCAUCAGAGCUGCAGGUGUGAGAGAGCCUAAGCCUGUCUCAGAGUGCAGGGGACAAGAGGAAAGGAAUGGUAAAAUUAACACUGACAAUUGAAAUUUUGUUAAAUAGCCUGCUAAUAUUAAUUGUAUCAAAUGAAUGUAUGCAGGUGUAUUUCUAUGAUCAUUUAUAGUUACACACAACCCCACCAGCCCCUCUUUCUCCCAUCGGGGAUGGGCUUUCUCAAGCACAGUGCCCCUCCUGGUUGAGUGGGCCACGCUGCGGGUCCUCGCCUGGGGCCAGGCUGCUGCAGGACACUGAGUCCCCGAGGCACGGCCUGGGAGAAAUGACAGGAACAUCUCUGCUCAUAACU
Long non-coding RNA from Camelus dromedarius (Arabian camel), 2332 nucleotides. RefSeq lists it as uncharacterized. The transcript has 8 exons. The record is from RefSeq and is a predicted model, not a curated record. NCBI's taxonomy places the organism in Eukaryota, Metazoa, Chordata, Mammalia, Artiodactyla, Camelidae.